Molecule: long non-coding RNA, 878 nt
Filed under: Triticum aestivum (bread wheat)
Lineage: Eukaryota; Viridiplantae; Streptophyta; Magnoliopsida; Poales; Poaceae
Description: long non-coding RNA (TAES_LNC028426)
Source: RNAcentral
UAGGAUAGAGAAGCUAUAUCCUAUUCAUUGGUACUAAUCAUGGAUACUUCAAUUUUUUUUAUAUUUGUUUGAAGUCAUGAUCUGAACGAGUCGCACAUACACCCUAGCACAUGUUCCUCGACGCUGAGGGCAUCCUUUAAGCGCGGCCGUUUUUCGAGCAUUUCGUAUUGGCUGUCUUGCGUUUCUAAUAAGUUGUUUAACCGUCGGCAUGUUGUAUGUAUAUAGAAAAAAAUGUAUUGCGAACUUGUAUAGUCCACAUUCUUUGGCUCUACCUAUCCAUUAUAGAGUAAAUAGCUCUUUUCACAAUAAGAGUUAUCCAUACAGUGACGGUAUUUAAUUAUGAAAGUUGGCUAAGUAGCUGACCCUGUUAGUCCGUUCUUUUAAGAUAAAGGAGCAUAAGCCUUUUUCUUUUUAUUACUAUUUCCUCCGCUUAAUGGAUAACCAUUUGCUACCAAUGGGAGAAUUGCUUCUUAUUUCCAAUUUAGAUAAUUGGAUUUGCACCAAAGGAAACCAUAAAUUCCAUAUACCAUAGAAAUCUAGGAUAGAGAAGCUAUAUCCUAUUCAUUGGUACUAAUCAUGGAUACUUCAAUUUUUUUAUAUUUGUUUGAAGUCAUGAUCUGAACGAGUCGCACAUACACCCUAGCACAUGUUCCUCGACGCUGAGGGCAUCCUUUAAGCGCGGCCGUUUUUCAAGCAUUUCGUAUUGGCUGUCUUGCGUUUCUAAUAAGUUGUUUAACCGUCGGCAUGUUGUAUGUAUAUAGAAAAAAAUGGAUUGGUUUAGAUCCAUCUUAACCUGAUGAUUGCUCAUCAUGAAGUCUUUCUAUUUUCUAUUAAAUCGAGGAAAACACGAAUUUAGCUGUGAAAUAACUUUACAAGAA